CCCUUAGAUGUUCUGGGCCACACGCGUGCUACACUGAGUGGAUCAGCGGGUCAGGUUGCGCGAAAGCGUUUCCUAAUCUUUAAAUCCGCUCGUGAUGGGGAUUGACGGUUGCAAUUUUCUGUCAUGAACGAGGAAUACCUUGUAAGCGCGGGUCAUCAUCCCGCGCUGAAUACGUCCCUGCCCUUUGUACACACCGCCCGUCGCCCCUACCGAUUGAGUGGUCCGGUGAGGCUUUGGGAUCUGAGCGGAAAGAGCGUUUCGCUGUUUCUGCUCGGAAAACUCAGUCGAACCUUAUCAUUUAGAGGAAGGAGAAGUCGUAACA
RNAcentral lists this ribosomal RNA (322 nucleotides) under uncultured eukaryote. RNAcentral's name for it is "partial 18S ribosomal RNA". It matches the Rfam family "Eukaryotic small subunit ribosomal RNA", at positions 1470 to 1796 of the family's 1831-position model. The record is from RNAcentral.